AGUUUUGUCAGCAAGAGUCGUUAUGGUCUCACCCCUAUCAAUAACCUGAAAGAUAAAGUUAGGUUCAACAGAGCAUGAAGCUGAAUAGGGUUUGAGACAUGCGAUUCACAUUUUAUUAAAUGCAUAUACAGGUAAGAAAUGGCAUCAUUUGAAAGCUGGUAUGGAAGAUCAAAGCAUAUAUUUCAAGAGAAUGACCCCCUCAAAGAACAUAAACUUGGGCCAGAUUAAACACAAACAUAAAUAACAAUGUGCCUUAUCC
Molecule: long non-coding RNA, 259 nt
Filed under: Manihot esculenta (cassava)
Lineage: Eukaryota; Viridiplantae; Streptophyta; Magnoliopsida; Malpighiales; Euphorbiaceae
Description: long non-coding RNA (MESC_LNC001911)
Source: RNAcentral